AGAGUUUGAUCAUGGCUCAGAACGAACGCUGGCGGCACGCCUAACACAUGCAAGUCGAACGGAUUAAAAUUAGGUUUACCUAAUUUUGAUCAGUGGCAAACGGGUGAGUAACACGUGGGAAUCUACCCAUUAGUCUGGAAUAACAUUUGGAAACAGAUGCUAAUACCAUAUAUUCUCGAGAGAGGAAAGAUUUAUCGCUAAUGGAUGAGCCCGCGCCAGAUUAGGUAGUUGGUGGGGUAAUGGCCUACCAAGCCUAUGAUCUGUAGCUGGUCUGAGAGGACGAACAGCCACACUGGGAAUGAGGGACGGCCCAGACUCCUACGGGAGGCAGCAGUGGGGAAUAUUGGGCAAUGGGCGAAAGCCUGACCCAGCGAUGCCGCGUGAGUGAUGAAGGCCUUAGGGUUGUAAAGCUCUUUCGUCAGGGAAGAUAAUGACUGUACCUGAAAAAGAAGUCCCGGCUAACUCUGUGCCAGCAGCCGCGGUAAGACAGAGGGGACUAGCGUUGUUCGGAAUUACUGGGCGUAAAGCGUGUGUAGGUGGAUUAGUAAGUUGAGAGUGAAAUGCCAGGGCUUAACCUUGGAACUGCUUUCAAAACUGUUAAUCUAGAGUUCGAUAGGGGAUAACGGAAUUCCUAGUGUAGAGGUGAAAUUCUUAGAUAUUAGGAGGAACGCCAAAAGCGAAGGCAGUUAUCUGGAGCGAAACUGACACUGAGGCACGAAAGCGUGGGGAGCAAACAGGAUUAGAUACCCUGGUAGUCCACGCUGUAAACGAUGAGUGUUAGAUAUCGGGAGAUUAUUCUUUCGGUUUCGAAGCUAACGCAUUAAACACUCCGCCUGAGGAGUACGGUCGCAAGACUAAAACUUAAAGGAAUUGACGGGGGCCCGCACAAGCGGUGGAGCAUGCGGUUUAAUUCGAUGUUACGCGAACAACCUUACCAACUCUUGACAUGGUGGUCAUAGGGAAUAGAGAUAUUCCCGUCAGUUAGGCUGGACCACACACAGGUGUUGCAUGGCUGUCGUCAGCUCGUGUCGUGAGAUGUUGGGUUAAGUCCCGCAACGAGCGCAACCCUCAUCCUUAUUUACCAGCGGGUAAUGCCGGGGACUAUAAGGAAACUGCCAGUGAUAAAUUGGAGGAAGGUGAGGAUGAUGUCAAGUCAUCAUGGCCCUUAUGAGUUGGGCUACACGCGUGCUACAAUGGUACCUACAACGGGAAGCAACACGGCGACGUGAAGCUGAUCCUUAAAUGGUAUCUCAGUCCGGAUUGCACUCUGCAACUCGAGUGCAUGAAGUCGGAAUCGCUAGUAAUCGCGGAUCAGCAUGCCGCGGUGAAUACGUUCUCGGGCCUUGUACACACUGCCCGUCAAGCCAUGGGAGUUGGGGUUACCUGAAGUUAGUGGGCUAACGCAAGAGGCAGCUAACCACGGUAAGACCGAUGACUGGGGCUAAGUCGUAACAAGGUA
This 1459-nucleotide ribosomal RNA is filed under the name metagenome. RNAcentral's name for it is "bacterial SSU rRNA". It matches the Rfam family "Bacterial small subunit ribosomal RNA". The record is from RNAcentral.